CUAUUCUAUCAAGGAUCGGUAAUUGGGAAUAAGCUUCUCAUUUCAUCCUAAAGGAUUCUGUCACUCCACUGAAAUCUUAAGAGUCUCCAGUGCUUGUUAGGAAAGUGUGGAAGAUGAACCCCUUCUUCAUCCACAGAUCUGCCCUGCCGGUGUUUGACACCCGAGUCUGAAGCUGGCACCUCAUCCAUUCCCUAGUCCUGCCUUUUUGCUCCCCGGGCUCCCUUUCCAGUGCCACCAUCGCCCUCUUUGCACUUCCCUCGCACUCCAUCUCAGAAGCAGACUUCAAGGAGAUCAAAAGAGGCUGCUCCUCAAGGAAGAGCAGGGGUCCUGCGGCUAGAAAGCGGGGGGCAGUCUCUGUCCACACUCAAAAAUCAAAGAAUUAGCCCGACUUAAUCAAACAAAAUAUUACUAUGUUUUCCGAACAACUUAUUCAGCUCAGAGUCAAGCAACUGUAAGUAACUAAUGACUUAUUUUUACAAUAAUCAAAUUUGUCUAAAUGCAACUUCUUUUAUCUCUCAAAUCUAGUUUGGGGAUUGAUAAAAUCCUCAUCUCUCCACCAGAUGCAAUAUAAAAUACUGGCUUC
RNAcentral lists this long non-coding RNA (583 nucleotides) under Homo sapiens (human). Its description in RNAcentral is "HSALNT0298176". Lineage: Eukaryota; Metazoa; Chordata; Mammalia; Primates; Hominidae. The record is from RNAcentral.